GUUGGGUACUGUGCAGAUGGAUUUAGAAGAGCUCUAGUUUAUGAGCACCUACCAAAUGAAUCACUAGAGAAAUUCAUAUUUUCAGAUGAUGGAAAGGAGCUUCCUCUUGGGUGGGAGAAGCUUCAAGAUAUUGCUUUAGGCAUAGCCAAAGGAAUUGAGUAUCUUCACCAGGGGUGCCAUCAACGAAUACUUCAUUUUGACAUCAAGCCUCACAACAUCUUGUUGGAUGAAAGUUUCAAUCCCAAGAUUUCUGAUUUUGGUCUGGCCAAGUUAUGCUCCAAGGAUCAGAGUGCCAUUUCCAUGACUACAGCUCGG
RNAcentral lists this unclassified non-coding RNA (315 nucleotides) under Hevea brasiliensis (rubber tree). The record is from RNAcentral. Lineage: Eukaryota; Viridiplantae; Streptophyta; Magnoliopsida; Malpighiales; Euphorbiaceae.